GUAGGUGGCAAGCGUUGUCCGGAAUUAUUGGGCGUAAAGCGCGCGCAGGCGGUCCUUUAAGUCUGAUGUGAAAGCCCACGGCUCAACCGUGGAGGGUCAUUGGAAACUGGGGGACUUGAGUACAGAAGAGGAAAGCGGAAUUCCAAGUGUAGCGGUGAAAUGCGUAGAGAUUUGGAGGAACACCAGUGGCGAAGGCGGCUUUCUGGUCUGUGACUGACGCUGAGGCGCGAAAGCGUGGGGAGCAAACAGGAUUAGAUACCCUGGUAGUCCACGCCGUAAACGAUGAGUGCUAAGUGUUAGGGGGGUUUCCGCCCCCCUUAGUGCUGCAGCUAACGCAUUAAGCACUCCGCCUGGGAGUACGGCCGCAAGGCUG
This 373-nucleotide ribosomal RNA is filed under the name uncultured organism. RNAcentral's name for it is "partial 16S ribosomal RNA". It matches the Rfam family "Bacterial small subunit ribosomal RNA", at positions 527 to 896 of the family's 1533-position model. The record is from RNAcentral.